AGAGCGAACGCUGGCGGCAGGCUUAACACAUGCAAGUCGAGCGGGCGUAGCAAUACGUCAGCGGCAGACGGGUGAGUAACGCGUGGGAACGUACCUUUUGGUUCGGAACAACCCAGGGAAACUUGGGCUAAUACCGGAUAAGCCCUUACGGGGAAAGAUUUAUCGCCGAAAGAUCGGCCCGCGUCUGAUUAGCUAGUUGGUGGGGUAAUGGCCCACCAAGGCGACGAUCAGUAGCUGGUCUGAGAGGAUGAUCAGCCACAUUGGGACUGAGACACGGCCCAAACUCCUACUGGAGGCAGCAGUGGGGAAUAUUGGACAACGGGCGCAAGCCUGAUCCAGCCAUGCCGCGUGAGUGAUGAAGGCCCUAGGGUUGUAAAGCUCUUUUGUGCGGGAAGAUAAUGACGGUACCGCAAGAAUAAGCCCCGGCUAACUUCGUACCAGCAGCCGC
Molecule: ribosomal RNA, 448 nt
Filed under: uncultured bacterium
Lineage: Bacteria
Description: SSU rRNA
Rfam family: Bacterial small subunit ribosomal RNA
Source: RNAcentral